GAUGAAGAACGUAGCGAAAUGCGAUAAGUAAUGUGAAUUGCAGAAUUCAGUGAAUCAUCGAAUCUUUGAACGCACAUUGCGCCCGCCAGUAUUCUGGCGGGCAUGCCUGUUCGAGCGUCAUUUCAACCCUCAGGCCCCCAGUGCCUGGUGUUGGGGAUCGGCCCAGCCUUCCUGUAAGGCCGCCGGCCCCGAAAUCUAGUGGCGGUCUCGCUGUAGUCCUCCUCUGCGUAGUAGCACAACCUCGCAGUUGGAACGCGGCGGUGGCCAUGCCGUUGAACACCCCACUUCUGAAAGUUGACCUCGGAUCAGGUAGGAAUACCCGCUGAACUUAAGCAUAUCAAUAAGCGGAGGA
RNAcentral lists this unclassified non-coding RNA (352 nucleotides) under soil metagenome. Its description in RNAcentral is "partial contains 5.8S ribosomal RNA, internal transcribed spacer 2, and large subunit ribosomal RNA". The stretch from base 1 to 120 matches the Rfam family "5.8S ribosomal RNA", at positions 35 to 154 of the family's 154-position model. The record is from RNAcentral.